This 1522-nucleotide ribosomal RNA is filed under the name Salmonella enterica subsp. enterica serovar Senftenberg. RNAcentral's name for it is "bacterial SSU rRNA". It matches the Rfam family "Bacterial small subunit ribosomal RNA". The record is from RNAcentral. Lineage: Bacteria; Pseudomonadati; Pseudomonadota; Gammaproteobacteria; Enterobacterales; Enterobacteriaceae.
AGAGUUUGAUCAUGGCUCAGAUUGAACGCUGGCGGCAGGCCUAACACAUGCAAGUCGAACGGUAACAGGAAGCAGCUUGCUGCUUUGCUGACGAGUGGCGGACGGGUGAGUAAUGUCUGGGAAACUGCCUGAUGGAGGGGGAUAACUACUGGAAACGGUGGCUAAUACCGCAUAACGUCGCAAGACCAAAGAGGGGGACCUUCGGGCCUCUUGCCAUCAGAUGUGCCCAGAUGGGAUUAGCUGGUUGGUGAGGUAACGGCUCACCAAGGCGACGAUCCCUAGCUGGUCUGAGAGGAUGACCAGCCACACUGGAACUGAGACACGGUCCAGACUCCUACGGGAGGCAGCAGUGGGGAAUAUUGCACAAUGGGCGCAAGCCUGAUGCAGCCAUGCCGCGUGUAUGAAGAAGGCCUUCGGGUUGUAAAGUACUUUCAGCGGGGAGGAAGGUGUUGCGGUUAAUAACCGCAGCAAUUGACGUUACCCGCAGAAGAAGCACCGGCUAACUCCGUGCCAGCAGCCGCGGUAAUACGGAGGGUGCAAGCGUUAAUCGGAAUUACUGGGCGUAAAGCGCACGCAGGCGGUCUGUCAAGUCGGAUGUGAAAUCCCCGGGCUCAACCUGGGAACUGCAUUCGAAACUGGCAGGCUUGAGUCUUGUAGAGGGGGGUAGAAUUCCAGGUGUAGCGGUGAAAUGCGUAGAGAUCUGGAGGAAUACCGGUGGCGAAGGCGGCCCCCUGGACAAAGACUGACGCUCAGGUGCGAAAGCGUGGGGAGCAAACAGGAUUAGAUACCCUGGUAGUCCACGCCGUAAACGAUGUCUACUUGGAGGUUGUGCCCUUGAGGCGUGGCUUCCGGAGCUAACGCGUUAAGUAGACCGCCUGGGGAGUACGGCCGCAAGGUUAAAACUCAAAUGAAUUGACGGGGGCCCGCACAAGCGGUGGAGCAUGUGGUUUAAUUCGAUGCAACGCGAAGAACCUUACCUGGUCUUGACAUCCACGGAAGUUUUCAGAGAUGAGAAUGUGCCUUCGGGAACCGUGAGACAGGUGCUGCAUGGCUGUCGUCAGCUCGUGUUGUGAAAUGUUGGGUUAAGUCCCGCAACGAGCGCAACCCUUAUCCUUUGUUGCCAGCGGUCCGGCCGGGAACUCAAAGGAGACUGCCAGUGAUAAACUGGAGGAAGGUGGGGAUGACGUCAAGUCAUCAUGGCCCUUACGACCAGGGCUACACACGUGCUACAAUGGCGCAUACAAAGAGAAGCGACCUCGCGAGAGCAAGCGGACCUCAUAAAGUGCGUCGUAGUCCGGAUUGGAGUCUGCAACUCGACUCCAUGAAGUCGGAAUCGCUAGUAAUCGUGGAUCAGAAUGCCACGGUGAAUACGUUCCCGGGCCUUGUACACACCGCCCGUCACACCAUGGGAGUGGGUUGCAAAAGAAGUAGGUAGCUUAACCUUCGGGAGGGCGCUUACCACUUUGUGAUUCAUGACUGGGGUGAAGUCGUAACAAGGUAACCGUAGGGGAACCUGCGGUUG